This 191-nucleotide ribosomal RNA is filed under the name uncultured prokaryote. RNAcentral describes it as "partial 16S ribosomal RNA". The record is from RNAcentral.
CAAAACGGCAGAAGCCUGAAUGAGCUUAAUAGAGGCCAAAGCGGUCUGGAAACGUACGGAUUGUUCAGUAACUUGACUCAUGAUUUCUUACCUAUUAGUGGUUGAACAGCAUCGGACUCAGAUAGUAAUCCACGCUCUUUUAAAAUGUCAACAAGAGAAUCUCUACCAUGAACAAAAUGUGACUCAUAUCU